This 74-nucleotide transfer RNA is filed under the name Occallatibacter sp. Its description in RNAcentral is "tRNA-Gln". It matches the Rfam family "tRNA". Rfam says of the family: Transfer RNA (tRNA) molecules are approximately 80 nucleotides in length. Their secondary structure includes four short double-helical elements and three loops (D, anti-codon, and T loops). The record is from RNAcentral. Lineage: Bacteria; Pseudomonadati; Acidobacteriota; Terriglobia; Terriglobales; Acidobacteriaceae.
UGCUCCCUCGUUCAAUGGUAGGACAGCCGCCUCUGGAGCGGCAUAUCGGGGUUCGAAUCCCUGGGGAGCAGCCA